AUUAAUUAAGGUCCGAAUCGCAAGAGCGGGGGAUUAACAAGCAACUAUUUGGGGUGAAUCGCGGACUCUACCGCGUAGGGCUUCCUUCGUCCGAACCCGUCAACUAACCUCGUAGGACAUAGAAGGGAACGA
RNAcentral lists this small RNA (132 nucleotides) under Alicyclobacillus sp. RNAcentral's name for it is "c-di-AMP sequence". It matches the Rfam family "c-di-AMP riboswitch aptamer (ydaO/yuaA leader)". Rfam says of the family: This family represents a conserved RNA structure found upstream of the ydaO and yuaA genes in Bacillus subtilis and related genes in other bacteria. The ydaO/yuaA element is thought to act as a genetic "off" switch for the ydaO and yuaA genes in its native state. It is believed that the element may be triggered during osmotic shock leading to activation of ydaO, a predicted amino acid transporter gene, and members of the yuaA-yubG operon which code for KtrA and KtrB K+ transporters. The record is from RNAcentral. Lineage: Bacteria; Bacillati; Bacillota; Bacilli; Caryophanales; Alicyclobacillaceae.